Molecule: ribosomal RNA, 305 nt
Filed under: uncultured bacterium
Lineage: Bacteria
Description: partial 16S ribosomal RNA
Rfam family: Bacterial small subunit ribosomal RNA
Source: RNAcentral
CCUACGGGGGGCAGCAGUGGGGGAUAUUGCACAAUGGGGGAAACCCUGAUGCAGCGACGCCGCGUGGGUGAAGAAGCGCCUCGGCGCGUAAAGCCCUGUCAGCAGGGAAGAAAAUGACGGUACCUGAAGAAGAAGCCCCGGCUAACUACGUGCCAGCAGCCGCGGUAAUACGUGGGGGGCAAGCGUUAUCCGGAUUUACUGGGUGUAAAGGGGGCGCAGACGGCGAUGCAAGCCAGGAGUGCAAGCCCGGGGCCCAACCCCGGGACUGCUCUUGGGACUGCGUGGCUAGAGUGCAGGAGGGGCAG